UUUAUGACUACAUACAAGCCCGCUCUUAAUGGCAACGCUGCAUAGAACUCGAUGGAGGUUUUGCUGAUGCCUUCUCUUAUUUUUCAAACUCAGAGCCAAGCUGGAGGACGCAUAGGAGGAGGAGCUUCUAUAUCAGUAGUUGGAGGAGCAGCUUCCAUAUUGCAGUCAAGAGAGACUCCUUCGGCUCAGGAGCUUCAGCAGUUGCAGGAGGCUGAUCAUGUGAAGGAGGAUUAGUCAUUUCAUCAGAGGCAGUACGUGAAGGCUGCUUCGAUAUGCUGCGUGGUGGCGUAUCAUGUUCUCCUUUCUCUGAUUCAAUAGCGGCAUAACAAAUGCAACAAAGAAGCCUCCAGCAAACGUUUUCUCCUAAUUUCUAUCCAUUCUUCAUCCUGGC
This 391-nucleotide long non-coding RNA is filed under the name Elaeis guineensis (African oil palm). RNAcentral's name for it is "long non-coding RNA (EGUI_LNC000949)". The record is from RNAcentral. Lineage: Eukaryota; Viridiplantae; Streptophyta; Magnoliopsida; Arecales; Arecaceae.